This 936-nucleotide ribosomal RNA is filed under the name uncultured bacterium. Its description in RNAcentral is "bacterial SSU rRNA". It matches the Rfam family "Bacterial small subunit ribosomal RNA", at positions 470 to 1401 of the family's 1533-position model. The record is from RNAcentral.
GGAGGGUACCCUGGGAAUAAACCACGGGCUAAUUACGGCCCACCAGCCCCGGUAAGAGGUAGGGGGCGAGCGUUCCCCGGAUUCACUGGGCGUAAAGGGCGCGUAGGCGGUUGGCAAGUCGCCUGUGAAAGCCCCGGGCUCAACUGGGGGAGGUCGGGCGAAACUGCUAGGCUGGAGGACGGCAGAGGAAAAAGUGGAACGACCGGAGUAGCGGUGAAAUGCGUAGAUACCGGUCGGUAUCCCGAUGGCGAAGGCAACCUUCUGGGUCGUUCCUGACGCUGAGGCGCGAAAGCGUGGGGAGCAAACCGGAUUAGAUACCCGGGUAGUCCACGCCCUAAACGAUGUGGGCUAGGUGUCGGGCGAGCAGUCGCUUGGUGCCGCAGCUAACGCGUUAAGCCCACCGCCUGGGUAGUACGGCCGCAAGGCUAAAACUCAAGGGAAUUGACGGGGCCCCGCACAAGCGGUGGAGCAUGUGGAUUAAUUCGAUACUGACCGAAGAACCUCACCCAGGUUUGACAUACAGUCGCCGCACUCAGAGAUGGGUGUUCUCGAGCAAUCGAGCGUCUGUACCGCUGUUGCAUGGCUGUCGUCAGCUCGUGUCGUGAGAUGUUGGGUUAAGUCCCGCAACGAGCGCAACCCGCGUUCCAUGUUGCCAUCGGGUAAAGCCGGGAACUCUUGGAAGACUGCUCGGGUAACCGAGAGGAAGGAGCGGAUGACGUCAAGUCGGCAUGGCGCCUACGCCUGGGGCUUCACACAUGCUACAAUGGGCGCAACAAAGGGUACCGAUACCGCGAGGUGGAGGCAAUCCCAAAAAUACGCUCUUAAUUCGGAUUGCAGUCUGCAACUCGACUGCAUGAAGCCGGAAUCGCUAGUAACUGCAGAUCAGCUAUGCUGCGGUGAAUACGUUCCCGGGCCUUGCACUCACCGCCCGUCAAG